GAUGAACGCUGGCGGCGUGCCUAAUACAUGCAAGUCGAGCGAACGGACGAGAAGCUUGCUUCUCUGAUGUUAGCGGCGGACGGGUGAGUAACACGUGGAUAACCUACCUAUAAGACUGGGAUAACUUCGGGAAACCGGAGCUAAUACCGGAUAAUAUUUUGAACCGCAUGGUUCAAAAGUGAAAGACGGUCUUGCUGUCACUUAUAGAUGGAUCCGCGCUGCAUUAGCUAGUUGGUAAGGUAACGGCUUACCAAGGCAACGAUGCAUAGCCGACCUGAGAGGGGGGUCGCCCACACUGGAACUGGGCCCGGGCCAGGACUCCGAGGGGAGGAGCAAGUAGGGAAUCUUCGGAAAGGGCAGAAGGCUGGAGGGAGAACCGCCGGUGGGUGGAGGAGGGUUUUCGUAUCGUAAAACUUUUUAAUAGGGAAAAAAAAUAGGGGUAAUAAAUUGGGCCAUUUUGGAGGUACCAUAAUAAGAAGCCCACGCCAACCUCCGGC
Molecule: ribosomal RNA, 497 nt
Filed under: uncultured bacterium
Lineage: Bacteria
Description: partial 16S ribosomal RNA
Rfam family: Bacterial small subunit ribosomal RNA
Source: RNAcentral